AUUGAACGCUGGCGGAAUGCUUUACACAUGCAAGUCGAACGGUAGAGGGGGCACCCCCUCGAGAGCGGCGAACGGGUGAGUAAUAUAUCGGAACGUGCCCAGUCGUGGGGGAUAACGUAGCGAAAGUUACGCUAAUACCGCAUACGAUCUACGGAUGAAAGCGGGGGAUCGCAAGACCUCGCGCGAUUGGAGCGGCCGAUAUCAGAUUAGGUAGUUGGUGGGGUAAAGGCUCACCAAGCCAACGAUCUGUAGCUGGUCUGAGAGGACGACCAGCAACACUGGAACUGAGACACGGUCCAGACUCCUACGGGAGGCAGCAGUGGGGAAUUUUGGACAAUGGACGCAAGUCUGAUCCAGCCAUUCCGCGUGCAGGAUGAAGGCCCUCGGGUUGUAAACUGCUUUUGUACGGAACGAAAAGGUUUCCAUUAAUACUGGGAGCUCAUGACGGUACCGUAAGAAUAAGCACCGGCUAACUACGUGCCAGCCGCCGCCGUAA
This 496-nucleotide ribosomal RNA is filed under the name uncultured bacterium. RNAcentral's name for it is "partial 16S ribosomal RNA". It matches the Rfam family "Bacterial small subunit ribosomal RNA", at positions 30 to 523 of the family's 1533-position model. The record is from RNAcentral.